GACGAACGCUGGCGGCGUGCCUAAUACAUGCAAGUUGAGCGCUGAAGGUUGGUACUUGUACCGACUGGAUGAGCAGCGCACGGGUGAGUAACGCGUGGGGAAUCUGCCUUUGAGCGGGGGACAACAUUUGGAAACGAAUGCUAAUACCGCAUAAAAACUUUAAACACAAGUUUUAAGUUUGAAAGAUGCAAUUGCAUCACUCAAAGAUGAUCCCGCGUUGUAUUAGCUAGUUGGUGAGGUAAAGGCUCACCAAGGCGAUGAUACAUAGCCGACCGGAGAGGGUGAGAGGCCGCAGUGGGAGGGAGACACGGCCCAAAGGCCUACGGGAGGCAGCAGUAGGGAAUCGGCGGCAAGGGGCGAAAGUCUGUCCGAGCAACGCCGCAGGAGGGAAGAAGGUUGUCGGGUCGUAAAAAUCGGUUGGUAGGGAAGAAAGUUGGUGAGAGUGGAAAGCUCAGCAAGUGACGGUAACUACUCAGAAAGGGACGGCUAACUACGUG
RNAcentral lists this ribosomal RNA (497 nucleotides) under uncultured bacterium. RNAcentral describes it as "partial 16S ribosomal RNA". It matches the Rfam family "Bacterial small subunit ribosomal RNA", at positions 28 to 507 of the family's 1533-position model. The record is from RNAcentral.